This 390-nucleotide ribosomal RNA is filed under the name uncultured bacterium. Its description in RNAcentral is "bacterial SSU rRNA". It matches the Rfam family "Bacterial small subunit ribosomal RNA", at positions 29 to 446 of the family's 1533-position model. The record is from RNAcentral.
AACGAACGCUGGCGGCAGGCUUAACACAUGCAAGUCGAACGCUGUAGCAAUACAGAGUGGCAGACGGGUGAGUAACGCGUGGGAACGUGCCCUUCGGUUCGGAAUAACUCAGGGAAACUUGAGCUAAUACCGGAUACGUGCGAGAGCAGAAAGAUUUAUCGCCGAAGGAUCGGCCCGCGUCCGAUUAGCUAGUUGGUGAGGUAAUGGCUCACCAAGGCGACGAUCGGUAGCUGGUCUGAGAGGAUGAUCAGCCACAUUGGGACUGAGACACGGCCCAAACUCCUACGGGAGGCAGCAGUGGGGAAUAUUGGACAAUGGGCGCAAGCCUGAUCCAGCCAUGCCGCGUGAGUGAUGAAGGCCUGAGGGUUGUAAAGCUCUUUCGCCAGGGAC